RNAcentral lists this ribosomal RNA (253 nucleotides) under uncultured bacterium. Its description in RNAcentral is "partial 16S ribosomal RNA". It matches the Rfam family "Bacterial small subunit ribosomal RNA", at positions 524 to 776 of the family's 1533-position model. The record is from RNAcentral.
UACGGAGGGGGCUAGCGUUGUUCGGAAUUACUGGGCGUAAAGCGCACGUAGGCGGCUUUGUAAGUUAGAGGUGAAAGCCCGGGGCUCAACUCCGGAAUUGCCUUUAAGACUGCAUCGCUAGAAUUGUGGAGAGGUAAGUGGAAUUCCGAGUGUAGAGGUGAAAUUCGUAGAUAUUCGGAAGAACACUAGUGGCGAAGGCGACUUACUGGACACAUAUUGACGCUGAGGUGCGAAAGCGUGGGGAGCAAACAGG